AUGUAUAGCGAAAGCUAGUUGUAUUAAUUAUGUCUUUAGUUAAAUGCAGCAUCGACUAUGUCGAAUAAAGUUCUAGGUAGAGUUAUGAUAAUGACAUUUUCUACCUAUGUGUCUUGACCAAAUCACGUGCCAGCAGUCGCGGAAAUACGUGGAAGACUAGUGUUAUUCAUCUUUAAUAGGUUUAAAGGGUACUUAGACGGUAAAUUAAGCCCAGAUAAAAAUAAAGGGUACUAAUUAUACUAGAGUUUAAAUGAGAGGGGGGGUGUAGUAGUGGUGUAGAGAUGAAAUUCUGUCAUACCAAGAUGACAGGCAACGGCGCAAGCAACCUUUUAUGUGUAGACUGACGUUAAAGGACGAAGGCUUUGUAUCACCAACAGGAUUAGGUACCCAAGCAGUCUUAGCAGACAAUUCUGAAUGCCAUAGAUAAGAAAAGAUUCUUUUCUCUCUAUCUCUAUUAAUAAAAAGAGAUAGAUGUUAUUUUGUCUAUAAAUGAAAGUGUAAGCAUUCCACCUCAAGAGUAAUGUGGCAACGCAUAAACUGAAAUCAUUAGACCGUUUCUGAAACCAGUAGUGAAGUAUGUUGUUUAAUUUGAUGGUCCGCACAAAACCUCACCACAAUUUGUAUAUUAUUAUCUUAAUACAGGAGUUGCACGGCUGUCUUCAGUUAAUGUCGUGAGAUUUUGGUUAGUUCCAUUAAAUUAACGUAAACCCUUACUUUAUUUAUGUUAUAAAGUAGUUCGCCGCUAUAUUGGAUAUGAUAAAAGGGACUAAGACAAGUCAUCAUGGCCUUAAUAUUGUGGG
This 800-nucleotide ribosomal RNA is filed under the name Lobothallia praeradiosa. Its description in RNAcentral is "SSU rRNA". It matches the Rfam family "Bacterial small subunit ribosomal RNA", at positions 368 to 1213 of the family's 1533-position model. Lineage: Eukaryota; Fungi; Ascomycota; Lecanoromycetes; Pertusariales; Megasporaceae. The record is from RNAcentral.